CCCUUAGAUGUUCUGGGCCGCACGCGCGCUACACUGAUACGUUCAACGAGUCCAAAACCUUGAUUGAUAGGUCUGGGUAAUCUUUUGAAGACGUAUCGUGCUAGGGAUAGAUUAUUGCAAUUAUUAAUCUUGAACGAGGAAUUCCUAGUAAACGCAAGUCAUCAGCUUGCGUCGAUUACGUCCCUGCCCUUUGUACACACCGCCCGUCGCUCCUACCGAUUGGGUGUGCUGGUGAAAUGUUCGGAUCGGCCGUUUGUCGCGGUUUCCGCGGCUCGUGGCUGAGAAGUUCAUUAAACCCUCCCACCUAGAGGAAGGAGAAGUCGUAACA
RNAcentral lists this ribosomal RNA (328 nucleotides) under uncultured eukaryote. Its description in RNAcentral is "partial 18S ribosomal RNA". It matches the Rfam family "Eukaryotic small subunit ribosomal RNA", at positions 1470 to 1796 of the family's 1831-position model. The record is from RNAcentral.